CAAGACCUGCGCUUUUGGAGCGGCCGAUGCCCGAUUAGCUUGUUGGUAAGGUAAAAGCUUACCAAGGCUUCGAUCAGUAGCUGGUCUGAGAGGACGGCCAGCCACACUGGGACUGAGACACGGCCCAGACUCCUACGGGAGGCAGCAGUGGGGAAUUUUGGACAAUGGGGGCAACCCUGAUCCAGCCAUGCCGCGUGAGUGAAGAAGGCCUUCGGGUUGUAAAGCUCUUUCAGCCGGAACGAAACGGUUACGGUUAAUACCCGUGAUUACUGACGGUACCGGAAGAAGAAGCACCGGCUAACUACGUGCCAGCAGCCGCGGUAAUACGUAGGGUGCGAGCGUUAAUCGGAAUUACUGGGCGUAAAGCGUGCGCAGGUGGUUUUGUAAGUCAGAUGUGAAAGCCCCGGGCCCAACCUGGGAACU
Molecule: ribosomal RNA, 423 nt
Filed under: uncultured bacterium
Lineage: Bacteria
Description: bacterial SSU rRNA
Rfam family: Bacterial small subunit ribosomal RNA
Source: RNAcentral